Molecule: transfer RNA, 87 nt
Filed under: Rubrivivax sp.
Lineage: Bacteria; Pseudomonadati; Pseudomonadota; Betaproteobacteria; Burkholderiales; Sphaerotilaceae
Also listed under: 2 other names
Description: tRNA-Leu
Rfam family: tRNA
About the family: Transfer RNA (tRNA) molecules are approximately 80 nucleotides in length. Their secondary structure includes four short double-helical elements and three loops (D, anti-codon, and T loops). Further hydrogen bonds mediate the characteristic L-shaped molecular structure. tRNAs have two regions of fundamental functional importance: the anti-codon, which is responsible for specific mRNA codon recognition, and the 3' end, to which the tRNAs corresponding amino acid is attached (by aminoacyl-tRNA synthetases). tRNAs cope with the degeneracy of the genetic code in two manners: having more than one tRNA (with a specific anti-codon) for a particular amino acid; and 'wobble' base-pairing, i.e. permitting non-standard base-pairing at the 3rd anti-codon position.
Source: RNAcentral
GCCCGGAUGGCGAAAUCGGCAGACGCAGGGGGCUUAAAACCCCUAGCUCGCAAGAGCAUGCGGGUUCGAGUCCCGCUCCGGGCACCA